This 255-nucleotide ribosomal RNA is filed under the name uncultured bacterium. RNAcentral describes it as "partial 16S ribosomal RNA". It matches the Rfam family "Bacterial small subunit ribosomal RNA", at positions 524 to 776 of the family's 1533-position model. The record is from RNAcentral.
UACGUAGGCAGCAAGCGUUGUUCGGAGUUACUGGGCGUAAAGGGUGCGUAGGCGGGUUUUUAAGUCAGAGGUGAAAUCCUGGAGCUCAACUCCAGAACUGCCUUUGAUACUGAAAGUCUUGAGUAUGGGGAGAGGUGAGUGGAACUGCGAGUGUAGAGGUGAAAUUCGUAGAUAUUGGGGAAGAACACCGGUGGCGAAGGCGGCUCACUGGCUCGUAACUGACGCUCAGGCGCGACAGCGUGGGGAUCAAACAGG